Cuculus canorus (common cuckoo) is the source of this 1665-nucleotide long non-coding RNA. RefSeq lists it as uncharacterized. Lineage: Eukaryota; Metazoa; Chordata; Aves; Cuculiformes; Cuculidae. The record is from RefSeq and is a predicted model, not a curated record. The transcript has 3 exons.
CCGAGCACCGUAAUCAGAAGCCUGGAGAGACAGAGUGGGCUCCUCAGGGGCUGGUGCUGAGGACAGUGGCUGGGAUGUAGCUCCUCUCUGUAGCAGCAAUGCCAAACCCACCGUCCAGCUCUAAAAAGAAAGAGAAAGAGAAGGGUAAGGAGCGCUAUGAAAGGCUGAGCUUUCCUAUCUGCUUUCCAAGCAGUCUUUUCUCCGAGGGAGGUACCAACUCAGCAACAGAAGCUGAGUCUCAGAGUGCUGGCGACUGCACACCUGACGCACUCAUCGCCCGACAUGCGUAAGCGCUUCGAGGAGGAAAGAACCCCAGCCCUGGAGCAGCCCCAGCACCGCUUCUCACCGUGAGCAGCAGAACCGGGACGGUGAGGCUGUUCCAGCUGAGAACUCGAGGAACCCCCAACUCUGGCCGCUGUGAGACCCCCUCCUGCUCAAACAGUUUUGGUGCUCAGGCACCGCGUUCCUCAAGGCAGCUCAGAGCUUCAAUUUUCUCCUCUGAGGAGCACCAAGGGCGACACACCAACUCCGACACACCAACUCCAGCCGUAACCCUAAACCUUUUGUGGGGUAACAACAUCCCGCAGCCAAGGAGGUCAGCAUUGGAGUCUCUGAGUGGUGGGACUUGGCUGCUGAACAACCCCAACUCUCUCCACCUGGCCUCAUAGCAGAAGUGCUCCAGCCCUCGGAUCAUCUCUGUGGCCUCCUCUGGACCCAUCCCAACAGUUCCAUAUCCUCCUUAUGUUGGCGACUUUAUUCUUACCACUGCUGUAGAUCAAACCUAGAAGCACUAAACUCACAAUUUAUGAAAAUAAAGGAAAAUCAAACCCAGUUUUCUGCUACCCAGAAGAAGAAAUAAACUCCAAUAGUCAGAAGAAAUGCAAAGCUCCUUCCACUAACAUCAAUUUCUACCCAUUAUGGUUAAAGAAAAACCUCUGCCUCUAACUGGAGUCAAAGGGGUUUGUUAUUCAUGUCCGAGAGUGCUGUCGAAUAAGCAGAGGGCAGUACCCAGGCUGUUUACUUGCACUCAACCCCAAACGGACGAGAAACUGAUUUUCACUACCCGCUCUAAAAUAGAUUUUGAUUUUCCUAUUGCUUUCUCUCAAUCACUUGUAGCUCCCCAAAGCAAUCCUGAUGAUUUGUGACACCUUUUGACACCAUCCAUGAGCCAAGGACUGCUGGGGCUUUGCUUCCUCAGCAGACAUCAUCUCAGUAAUUGACUCUAUAUCAAUCAAUUCCUGGGGCACAGCCUCUGCUGGAUAUUUCUUUUGGGUGAAACUCACGGCUGAUUUGAAUCAUGCAGGAAACCCCACACUGCAGCUCACCCCACUAGGGAGCUGAAGCCAGAUGUCUUCUGCCCGAGACUCAUCCUGUUCCAGGACACCUCGUGGUGCUCCAGAGCGGCCCCAGUGCCACCGCAACGCAUUUCCUUUCCUGAUGGGCAGAAAGCUGAUCUCAGUUUUCCUACCAUGGCUUUCACACGGUUCCCGAGUGGUCCUCAGCCCUCUCGCUGACACAUCUAGACUUUUCCAAGAAGCUGCAACCGAAAUCUGGUCAUCUCAACUUUUGCAAACUCAUGAGUCGGUUGAAGUGAUAAACACUCACACUGCGGUGGUUGUAAAAGCGUUACUCAAAAGUAACCUGAAUGGUUUCAUUUCUUCUUUA